Molecule: long non-coding RNA, 582 nt
Filed under: Glycine max (soybean)
Lineage: Eukaryota; Viridiplantae; Streptophyta; Magnoliopsida; Fabales; Fabaceae
Description: long non-coding RNA (GMAX_LNC000621)
Source: RNAcentral
AAAAAACUGAGCUGUUGUUACAUUUGGAAUUCCUUGUGCUGAUAUAUAUGUGUUGAGGUUAAGGUCUCUGUUCUCACUUGUCCUGACACUGAUUAAUUAUGAGGCUGUAAAAACUAGUAACAUCGUUUGCCCUUCUGGUCCUUUUUUUUUUUUUUUUAUAAUUUUUCUUGCCUCUGUAAUGAAACAAAUUCCCCCCAACCUAUGAUCUGACUCAUUCACUUUCUCGGUGUAUUUUGAGUAAACAACAAAAGUCUGAAUUUUAAAAGCGGAAUGUCCUGACUAGAUUAUGAUAUCUGUGUAGAUAGAGUGAUGGAAUGGCCAAUUAUGUGUGAUACUUCAUCAUUUGGAUGCAUCAUGGCCAUCUGUUAGUAGCUAUCUCUGUCUACAGAGUUAAUCAUUGAGAAAAAGUUCUAUGACUUUCGAUUUGUAGGCUAAAGAUAACAGUAGCUUGGGCUGUCACAGAUCACAGUUAAAUGAAAAAAAAGGGUACAACAAGAAACGUAUUUACUUUUUCUACACAAUUUUAGGAGUUAUAUUAUGUUAAUCAUAGUUUCAAGCAACACAUUGUUUUUAAACAUUUUU